RNAcentral lists this long non-coding RNA (4513 nucleotides) under Salmo salar (Atlantic salmon). RNAcentral's name for it is "lncRNA (ENSSSAG00000097987.1)". Lineage: Eukaryota; Metazoa; Chordata; Actinopteri; Salmoniformes; Salmonidae. The record is from RNAcentral.
CUGUGUUGUUGCCCUUAUACCCUCCCCAUUGAUUAGACUGUAUGUAUCAAUGUGACAUCAAUAUUAGUUCAAUAUGGGGUGUCAUGCUGGAACCAAUGGGAUGGGGAAUACCCACAUGUAGGAACGCCCGAAUUGCGGGCUGCAGUUACCCGUUCUUCCAAAACAUGACCUUACAUCACGCCUUUCACGUCUGUCCUCAUCCCCGAUGACACCUGCUGGAAAUCCACAACAACUGUGAAGAACACGCAGGACAGAAACUACAUCAGGAGCUCCGGGACCGACCUCUGGACUAGAGACCUCGUGGAGGGUGGGAAUGAUUGUCCUGAAGCGACCUACUCCAGGCAGCUCUGGUGGUUGUUCCCACUAUCUCUAGACCACUCCAGAAGCAAAACCCAAACAGGAAGUACCAGUGAUGCACUCAAUACAGAAGUGGUCCAAUGAAGCGGAUGCUAAGCUACAGGACUGUUUCUCUAGCACAGACUGGAAUAUAUUCCGGGAUUCAUCCGAUUGGCAUUGAGGAGUUUACCAACAUCAGUCACCGGCUUCAUUAAUGAGUGCAUUGACGACGUCGUCCCCACAGUGACCGUACGUACAGUACAUGUUGCUAGCAAUACUUGUCGUUCUGUCUGUCAUAUUGAGGUAUCUAGCUAUAAGUUAACCUGAUCAAUCAACUGGGAUAUGUGUAAGCAAUUAUGGUAACUCCAACUGCUCUUAACUAGGUUUUGUAAUGGUUGCUUUAUUUGACCACAGCAGAGUUCAAUAUUAUUGUGUGUGUGUGUCAGUAUCCUUACAAAUAUGAAAGUCUGCAUAUUGUAUGACACAGACACUUUUUAAAUGUUAGAGGUGGACCUCAUCAAACCCUUCACGAAAUCCAGGAAUGGCAACAGCUGUUAUCUGACAGCGACCGAUCACUUUACCAAGUGGAUGGAGGCAAUACCCAUUUAAGGCGUGUCAUGCGUCCUCAGAAACUUGACCCGCCGAACCGUGCUCCUUAACACCACCCGCUUAACCCAGAUGCCAGCUGCACCAAUGUGUCAGACCAAACACCGUUCAGCUGACGACCAAAGUGAACCUGCAGGCGCCCGGCCCACCACAAGGAGUCCCUAGAGCACGAUGAGCCAAGUAAAGCCCCCCCCUGAGCCGGACGACGCUGGGCCAAUUGUGCGCCGCCCUAUGGGACACAGCCUGGGAUCGAACCUGGGUCUGUAGUGCUGCAGUGCCUUAGAUCGCUGCGCCACUCAGGAGGCCCCUUGAUUGUUGUUUUGUAUUAUACCCAUCAAGGACAAGACUGGCGAGGCUACCUCCAUCUUCAACACCCACAGUUCUCCUGAGGUCAUCUUGAGUGACUGAGGUUGUGAACUCUGGAACAAGGUCCUUCAGGUUUGGAUGAAUGGACCAACCAGAACCUCAAGACUGCCAUGGACAAGUUCGUUGACGGGUACCAGGAAAGGUGGGAGGACAACCUGAAGGUAAUUCUCUUUGCUCACAACAGCAGCGUCCAGGCCUCCACUGAGUACUCACCCUAUCGCCUGCUGUACUGACGGGAGCCACAGCUGUUGACUGAGCAGCUAUGAUCGUGGUGUUUUAAUCAGUGAAAGAGAGCGGCAAGCCAACGUUGGGCCCAGGAACAACCACAGGGCUCCUGUGAAAACAAACUCAAGUUGGAAAAAUCACAGACCUGGCAACCAAGAGCUGGGCAGUACUGGACUUGGAGGACUGAUACCAGUGUCUCUCUGAGUGCUAUGUAUGUACAUGUUUUACUUCAGGGAACAGUCCGGACUACAGCUUCAGUCACUGUUUGGCAAGAGAUGUCUUAUCUAUCCAUCCUACUCUCACAUAUACAGUUGAAGUUGGAAGUUUACAUACACCUUAGCCAAAUAUAUUUAAACUCAGUUUUUCACAAUUCCUGACAUUUAAUCCAAGUAAAAAUUCUCUUUCUUAGGUCAGUUAGGAUUACCACUUUAUUUUAAGAAUGUGAAAGAGAGAAUGAUUUAUUUCAGCUUUUGUUUCUUUCAUCACAUUCCCAGUGGGUAAGAAGUUUACAUACACUCAAUUAGUAUUUGGUAGCAUUGCCUUUAAAUUAUUUAACUUGGGUCAAAUGUUUUGGGUAGCCUUCCACAAGCUUCCCACAAUAAGUUGGGUGAAUUUUGGCCCAUUCCUCCUGACAGAGCUGGUGUAACUGAGUCAGAUUUGUAGGCCUCCUUGCUCGCACACACUUUUUCAGUUCUGCCCACACAUCUUCUAUAGGAUUGAGGUCAGGGCUUUGUGAUGGCCACUCCAAUACCUUGACGUUGUUGUCCUUAAGCCAUUUUGCCACAACUUUGGAAGUAUGCUUUGGGUCAUUGUCCAUUUGGAAGACCCAUUUGCGACCAAGCUUUAACUUCCUGACUGAUGUCUUGAGAUGUUGCUUCAAUAUAUCCUCAUCAUUUUACUCCCUCGUGAUGCCAUCUAUUUUGUGAAGUGCACCAGUCCCUCCUGCAGCAAAGCACCCCCACAACAUGAUGCUGCCACCCCCGUGCUUCAUGGUUGGGAUGGUGUUCUUCAGCUUGCAAGCAUUCCCCUUUUUCCUUCAAACAUAACGAUGGUCAUUAUGGCGAAACCGUUCUAUUUUUGUUUCAUCAGACUAGAGGACAUUUCUCCAAAAAGUACGAUCUUUGUCCCCAUGUGCAGUUUGGCCUUUUUAUGACGGUUUUUGAGCAGUGGCUUCUUCCUUGCUGAGUGGCCUUUCAGGUUAUGUCAAUAUAGGACUCGUUUUACUGUGGCUAUAGAUAUUUUUGUACUCGUUUCUUCCACCAUCUUCGCAAGGUUCUUUGCUGUUGUUCUGGGAUUGAUUUGCAAUUUUCGCACCAAAGUACGCUCAUCUUUAGGAGACAGAACGCGUCUCCUUCCUGAGCGGUAUGACAGCUGCGUCGUCCCAUGGUGUAUAUACUUGCGUACUAUUGUUUGUACAGAUGAACGUGGUACCUUCAGGCCUGAUGAACCAGACUUGUGGAGGUCCACCAUUUUUUUCGGAGGUCUUGGCUGAUUUCUUCUGAUUUUCCCAUGAUGUCAAGCAAAGAGGCACUGAGUUUGAAGGUAGGCCUUGAAAUACAUCCACAGGUACACCUCCAAUUGACUCAAAUGAUGUCAAUUAGCCUAUCAGAAGCUUCUAAAGCCAUGACAUCAUUUUCAAGGAUGUUUAAAGGCACAGUCAACUUAGUGUAUGUAUACUUCUGACCCACUGGAAUUGGGAUACAGUGAAUUAUAAGUGAAAUAAUCUGUCUGUAAACAAUUGUUGGAAAAAUGUCUUGUGUCAUGCACAAAGUAGAUGUCCUAACUGACUUGCCAAAAUUAUAGUUUGUUAACAAGAAAUGUGUGGAGUGGUUGAAAAACGAGUUUUAAUGACUCCAACCUAAGUGUAUGUAAACUUCCGACUUCAACUGUAUAUGGACCCUUAAGGGGUUCUGUUCUGGCUAGCGCAAUGGCGACGUUGCCAUUCAUCAACAUAUAAAACCAACUCUCCCUCCAUGGACAUGAAACCUAAAGCCUGGGCUUCGUUGUCAGAAUUGUGACUCCUGGUUGACUUGUUCCGUAAUCCAUUUCCAUAUCAUGUAGUCUGAGCUCUUCAUUCAGUAUGGAUGUGUAAUGGGGUCAGACUUGGGGGCAGAGAGGGGGUCAGGGAUGUGGUCACCGGGGAAGAGAUGUGGUUACCGGGGAAAGUAGAGGUCAUCCAUCCUCGUCGCCAUGACGAUAUCCUCGCCCCGCCUGUCUCUUUUCCGAAUGUUCCAGAUAGGUGGUGGGCAGACCAUGUGUAUUUGCGUAUCUGGUAUUUAAAAUACUUUUUCUGUGUAUUUCAGUAUUUUCAAAUACACAGUCCAAAACAAGUACUUUUUUUGAGUAUUUGAAUGGUUAUUUGUAAAAACCAAAUAGUCUGCCAAAUUGUAUUUAACAGUAUGUUCAAGUACUAUUUUCAAAUACCUGGGUUAAAUGCAUAGGAGUGUAUUUGAGUCAGUGUAAUUUAGUUUUUCCUAAUACUCACCAAGUGUACUUCCAAAACAUCAACAUAUUCAACUACGUGUCUUUUUAAAAUAAAAUCUAUCUGAAUACUUCCUUUGAAUGUAUGUGAAAGUAAUUGAGAUAUUAUAAAUAGUUUUUUGAUCCCAGGUCUGGUGGUAGGGUUGGUGUAACGCCCUGGCCAUAGAGAGGGUUUUUUUGUUCUUUAUUUUGGUUAGGCCAGGGUAUUACAUUGGGUGGGCGUUCUAUGUUUAUUUUUCUAUGUUGGUUUGUUUCUUUGGUUUGGCCGUGUGUGGCUCCCAAUCAGGCACAGCUGUAGUUCGUUGUUGCUGAUUGGGAGUCACACAUAAGUAGCCUGUUUUUCCUUUGGGUUUUGUGGGUGAUUGUCUUCUGUUAGUGUGUUUUCCUGACAGGACUGUUUUGCUUUCGUCUUUGGUUUAUUUUUGUCAAGUGUUCUCUUUUUUCAAUUAAAAUUCUAAUGAUGAACACAUCCUCCGCUGCACCUUGGUCUAAUUCUGAC